CUCCCACCCGGGCCCCGCGGCGAUGACUGGGCCACCCCCUGGCCUUCCUUCUCUCAGCCCUCAGGUCCCGAGAGCCCCGGCCCAGAGCGGCCUCUGCUGGACAGUCAAGACACGAGACCCUGGGUUCAGCAAAUGUUUGCAGCGCCUUGCACUGUGCUGGGAACUAGGGAUGCAAAGAAAUGUGAGAAAAUGAAGGCACAGAGAAGACAAUGUUCUCAAGGUCGCAUAACUGGGUCUUGCUCUGUCUCCCAGGAUCCAGGAUGGAGUGCAGUGGCAUGAUCAUGGCUCACUGUAGCCUCGAACUUCCUGCUUCAGCCUCCUGAGUAGCUGGAACUACAGGUGUGUAUCAUCAUGCCUAGCUAAUUUUUUUUUUUAAUGUUUUAUAGGGAUGGGGUCUCUGUGUGCUGCCCAGGCUGGUCUUGAAUUCCUGGGCUCGAGCAAUCCUUCAGACUCAGCCUCCCAAAGUGCUGGGAUUACAGGUGUGAGUCACUGCACCUGGCCAAAUUUGUUUUGUUUGACAUGACAUGCUAACUUCAUAGAGAAAAUGUCUCACAAAUACUGAAGCCUAAAUAACCAUAGUUUGUCUGUUAAUAAUGUUUUCAAAUGAAAAUAGUGUUUCAUAAAAAAGUGGCUAGGUUAGCUUUCAAUUCAUCACAUACAUACAUUUCCUUGGAACAACCACUUACUUUGGUAUUCAGCAAAAAUGCUUUAUGCAUACUUUUCAUUCAUUUAUAUGAAAAAGAUGUGUGUUCAAGAUCAAGAUUUUAUAAAAAUUAAGAAUUUUUGCUGCUUCAUUAAGGACAUUCAUAAGGACAUGAAUGGUGGUAAUACAAUGACUACUAGUAUAGUUUGGUGCCACUGCCUACAUUUGUGUUAAAGCACCAGAAGUUUUAUCCACAAUUGCUUUUGUAGCAUCAAUGGAAAAAUCAAAAUGCAAAAAAAGAGAUAAAUAACAUCUUAGUAAUAUUAUGAAAAUAGCUUUGACUCCACAGAUGUAAAAGGAUCAGACUCCUAGGAGUUUGUGAACCACACUUUGAGAACUGCUGGCCUAGAGAAAUAUCUUAGAAAAUUGUGAAGGACAUUAACUGUUUCAACUGCCUAGAGUAUCCCUUUCUUCAGGUAAGUGUUCUUUCCUCUGCUUUAAGCAACUAGUUUCAAUGGCGGUGGCUAUUUUCCUAUGGAGGCUGCCUCCUACCCUAUGGGUGACUGGUAUAGGGUAGACACCAGCCUCUUUAUAUUCAGUAUACUUUCUCAGAAUUCUUAAACUUGGAACCAGAAAAUGUCACUAAUAGUUGCUCUCUGGGAACAAAGUUAUGAAGUUCUGGCAUUUUGGUGAACCACCCAAGCAUGUAGAAAAAGCUAGUCUAAAAUAGGAUAGAUAAACCCAACUCUCAGAGAGAACCAGAAAUGGGAGAAGGCUUGGUAGCAUUCCAGUCCCUGGUUCCACUUGUCCUUGAGGCUCGACCACAUUCUUGCCCUUCCUGCUACUCUGUAAGCAUUUUGAUAAAUUUCCCUUGCCUCUAAACACUUUAUAUUUUCACAAACUUUAUGAGUUUGUCCAACUGUCUUUUUUUCUGAACACUUUUGCUAGCAUCAGUUGUUACACAGUUUAGUAGAUUCCACUUCAGAUUACGCUGAAUUUGAGUUUUCUCGACUUUGAAAAUAUUCUUGACUGCAGUUUUACUCAGACCAUUCAUAGAGGCUAUGAAUUCAUGUUAUUCACUUCAAAGUCAGUAUUAAAUUAUCAAAUAAACAUCAACAACUGAAUAGUGUUUGGUAACAACUGUCAACUCAUCAAGAGCCAAAGAAAAACACUAGAAAUUAUUUUCCUUCUUUCUUAAUUUAUCCAAAAUUGACUCCCAACAUCCUCAACUUAUUAAGCAACUGUUCUCACAGAAAGAUUAAUAAUCUAAACAAGUUUACUUUCUUUGUACAUCUUUUUUUUGCUGUUAUUGUUGCUACAAUUGAAUAAAAUAUAAUUAACUUGCACCUGGUAAAUGGCUUUUCUUGCUUGACUAAAAACCAAACUACUUGGAAACUUACUUUGGUUGAAGAUUCAUUUCAGACUUUUGUGGGAAAAAUCUACUGAGAUAUUUUGUUUUGAAGUUUCAAAUUUUUCUGACUCAGGGAGUAUUGUACAUCAAAGAUAGUGUGGCAAUUAUUUAGUCUGGUACUGUAGACCUAUGUUGUAUUCUUCUAAAGUAGCAAUGACAUAAUAACAUGUAUAAAACACAAUGCUUACAAUUGAUUUAGAUAACAAAAUAAUCUACUUUCCAUUCUAUUUUUAAAAUGUGAUAUUCAAAAUCUGUUUUUCUCUUCAUUUUCUUGUUUGUUUUAUUUUGGCAAGAUGCG
This 2352-nucleotide long non-coding RNA is filed under the name Homo sapiens (human). Its description in RNAcentral is "HSALNT0320302". Lineage: Eukaryota; Metazoa; Chordata; Mammalia; Primates; Hominidae. The record is from RNAcentral.